This 253-nucleotide ribosomal RNA is filed under the name uncultured bacterium. Its description in RNAcentral is "partial 16S ribosomal RNA". It matches the Rfam family "Bacterial small subunit ribosomal RNA", at positions 524 to 776 of the family's 1533-position model. The record is from RNAcentral.
UACAGAGGUCUCAAGCGUUGUUCGGAUUCAUUGGGCGUAAAGGGUGCGUAGGUGGCGGGGUAAGUCAGGUGUGAAAUCUCGGGGCUCAACCCCGAAACUGCACUUGAUACUGCCUUGCCCGAGUACUGGAGAGGAGAUUGGAAUUUACGGUGUAGCAGUGAAAUGCGUAGAUAUCGUAAGGAAGACCAGUGGCGAAGGCGAAUCUCUGGACAGUUACUGACACUGAGGCACGAAGGCCAGGGGAGCAAACGGG